RNAcentral lists this ribosomal RNA (433 nucleotides) under uncultured bacterium. RNAcentral's name for it is "partial 16S ribosomal RNA". It matches the Rfam family "Bacterial small subunit ribosomal RNA", at positions 29 to 507 of the family's 1533-position model. The record is from RNAcentral.
AGCGAACGCUGGCGGCAGGCCUAACACAUGCAAGUCGAACGAACUCUUCGGAGUUAGUGGCGGACGGGUGAGUAACACGUGGGAACGUGCCUAUUGGUUCGGAAUAACUCAGGGAAACUUGUGCUAAUACCGAAUGUGCCCUUCGGGGGAAAGAUUUAUCGCCAUUAGAGCGGCCCGCGUCGGAUUAGCUUGUUGGUGAGGUAACGGCGCAUCAAGGGGACGAUCAGUAACUGGUCAGCGAGGAAGACCAGCCACACUGGGACUGAGACACGGCCCAGACUCCUACGGGAGGCAGCAGUGGGGAAUCUUGCGCAAUGGGCGAAAGCCUGACGCAGCCAUGCCGCGUGAAUGAUGAAGGUCUUAGGAUUGUAAAAUUCUUUCACCGGGGACGAUAAUGACGGUACCCGGAGAAGAAGCCCCGGCUAACUUCGUG